UCCAAACCCUCUCUCUCUCUCUCUCUCGCGCGCGCGCGCGCGCACACAAAUCGACAUCAAGAGCUCCAACAAGCCAAGCUGAACACAAUGGUGUGAAGCUAUUGACUUAAACCUAAUGUUCGAUUCUGAUUCGUCUAUUCCAGGAGUAACCAUAACAACUAGUGAGAAGGGAAAUAACGAAUGAAGAAAAUAUGCAAAGAGAGAACUUUGAGAAUAGAAGAAUGAAGAGAGAGAGAGAGAGAGAGAGAGAGAGAAGUAACGAUGAAGUGAGAGAAAACUAUCGGAAGGAGAACGCUUGAAGGAGACGGAAGAGACAAAUGCAUGCCACCCGGCGAAGAAAAAAUCUUCGACCCAUCAGUCAGGUUUGGAAAUUCAAACUAGGGUUUUGACUUGGGGAUUUUCAUUGAAAAUUUUGGGUUUUGAUUGAGCAAAUCAAAAAUUAGAAUUGAGUUUUAGGUUGUAUAUGUAUAGUUUUCCUCUGCUUUCCUCUUCUCUCCUCUAGUCUCCUUGACUGUCUUCUCCUCUGCUCUCCUCAUUGGUUCAAUUGAUUGAAUAAUUUUGAUUAAGAAUAUAUUUAAUUAAUGUAUUGUGUAGUUGAUGUUUAGCAUAUGUUCUAGUUAUAAAAAUAAAAAAAAAUCUCUUUGUUUUCUAGUAGUGUAUCUUUUAUGUUCUUCAAUUUCUGCUAAACCAGAAAAUUUUAAGAAAAUAUAAUGAAAUCCCAUGUGAUUUAUAUGUACUUAGCACUUGUUAAACUCAUUGGGUUAAGGAAUCAAUUAAUUCAAUUCAAUUAAAUGAAGAAUUGAGUUCGAAAUCAAAAUUACAGCACUGAUAGGAAAUUGCCUGACUGGAAUACAGGGAGAAACUGAGCCUGUAGGGAACUUCUUUUGCUGAAUUAUGUUUUAAUUUUUAUUUUUAAUGUAUAUAUAUAUUUUUAUUAUAUUUGUUUGUCGAAGGAAUUUGUCAAAUUUGAACUUGGGUGGGGAGAUUUCACCAGCCAUUGGAGACCUGAAGAAUCUACAGCCCAUAUGUUAUAUUUGAAAUAUUUUCAGGGAUUUUCUGGGGAACAAAUUAACUGGUCAAAUUCCUGAUGAGAUAGGCAACUGUGUUUCUCUGAUGCUGGUGGGGUUCUUCUACGGAUACUCAUUAAUUACAACUCUUAUGAUUCUUAACCAUGCACUAAGUGGCAUUGCUGUAUCGAUGGUCAUGAAGUAUGCUGACAAUAUUGUGAAGGUGUGUCUAUGAAUAUUACUUUGUAUUUGUAUCAAAGGUGCACUAGCUCGCACACUGUGCCUGUAUAAUGUUCUACAUUUAUUCAUUUAUGAUGCAAAGAAAAGAACUAGUAUAACUAGUA
Camellia sinensis is the source of this 1351-nucleotide non-coding RNA. The record is from RefSeq and is a predicted model, not a curated record. NCBI's taxonomy places the organism in Eukaryota, Viridiplantae, Streptophyta, Magnoliopsida, Ericales, Theaceae.